AGUGAACGCUGGCGGCAGGCCUAACACAUGCAAGUCGAGCGGCAGCGCGUCCGACCACCCUCGGGUGGUCGGAUGGCGGCGAGCGGCGGACGGGUGAGGAAUGCAUCGGAAUCUGCCUCGUUGUGGGGGAUAACGUAGGGAAACUUACGCUAAUACCGCAUACGACCUACGGGUGAAAGUGGGGGACCUUCGGGCCUCACGCGAUGAGAUGAGCCGAUGCCGGAUUAGCUAGUUGGCGGGGUAAAGGCCCACCAAGGCGACGAUCCGUAGCUGGUCUGAGAGGAUGAUCAGCCACACUGGAACUGAGACACGGUCCAGACUCCUACGGGAGGCAGCAGUGGGGAAUAUUGGACAAUGGGGGCAACCCUGAUCCAGCCAUGCCGCGUGUGUGAAGAAGGCCUGCGGGUUGUAAAGCACUUUUAGUGGGGAGGAAGGUCUGCGACCUAACACGUCGUGGAAUUGACUUAACCCACAGAAAAAGCACCGGCU
RNAcentral lists this ribosomal RNA (489 nucleotides) under uncultured bacterium. RNAcentral's name for it is "bacterial SSU rRNA". It matches the Rfam family "Bacterial small subunit ribosomal RNA", at positions 29 to 498 of the family's 1533-position model. The record is from RNAcentral.